This 465-nucleotide ribosomal RNA is filed under the name Vreelandella stevensii. RNAcentral describes it as "partial 16S ribosomal RNA". It matches the Rfam family "Bacterial small subunit ribosomal RNA", at positions 338 to 795 of the family's 1533-position model. The record is from RNAcentral. Lineage: Bacteria; Pseudomonadati; Pseudomonadota; Gammaproteobacteria; Oceanospirillales; Halomonadaceae.
CCUACGGGGGGCAGCAGUGGGGAAUAUUGGACAAUGGGCGAAAGCCUGAUCCAGCCAUGUCGCGUGUGUGAAGAAGGCCUUCGGGUUGUAAAGCACUUUCAGUGGGGAAGAAAGCCUUGGGGCUAAUACCCUCGAGGAAGGACAUCACCCACAGAAGAAGCACCGGCUAACUCCGUGCCAGCAGCCGCGGUAAUACGGAGGGUGCGAGCGUUAAUCGGAAUUACUGGGCGUAAAGCGCGCGUAGGCGGUCUGAUAAGCCGGUUGUGAAAGCCCCGGGCUCAACCUGGGAACGGCAUCCGGAACUGUCAGGCUAGAGUGCAGGAGAGGAAGGUAGAAUUCCCGGUGUAGCAGUGAAAUGCGUAGAGAUCGGGAGGAAUACCAGUGGCGAAGGCGGCCUUCUGGACUGACACUGACGCUGAGGUGCGAAAGCGUGGGUAGCAAACAGGAUUAGAUCCCCUGGUAGUC